GGGGUUGUAGCUCAGCCGGGAGAGCAGCUGCUUUGCAAGCAGAAGGUUGCGGGUUCGAUUCCUGUCAGCUCCA
This 73-nucleotide transfer RNA is filed under the name Sarcina sp. DSM 11001. It matches the Rfam family "tRNA". Rfam says of the family: Transfer RNA (tRNA) molecules are approximately 80 nucleotides in length. Their secondary structure includes four short double-helical elements and three loops (D, anti-codon, and T loops). The record is from Rfam by way of RNAcentral. Lineage: Bacteria; Bacillati; Bacillota; Clostridia; Eubacteriales; Clostridiaceae.